AAGAGUUGUUAUAUACUUUGAAGAACAAGACAAGUACAAAUAGUAUGGGGAAUGGGACUAGUCUCUGCUGACAAAGAUGCAUAUAGUUUCGAGGAAUCAAAUAGAAGGGAAUGCAAAAACUUAAUACUCCACCUCUUCUAUGGGAAUGAAAAUAAACUAGCUAAUUUCAUUGGGGUAUAUUAGCAAAGAGUAGUAGUUAUUAAAAAGUUAGGUGAAAGGAAAAGACACC
This 229-nucleotide long non-coding RNA is filed under the name Solanum tuberosum (potato). RNAcentral describes it as "long non-coding RNA (STUB_LNC003748)". The record is from RNAcentral. Lineage: Eukaryota; Viridiplantae; Streptophyta; Magnoliopsida; Solanales; Solanaceae.